RNAcentral lists this ribosomal RNA (254 nucleotides) under uncultured bacterium. RNAcentral describes it as "partial 16S ribosomal RNA". It matches the Rfam family "Bacterial small subunit ribosomal RNA", at positions 524 to 776 of the family's 1533-position model. The record is from RNAcentral.
GACGAGGGAUCCUAGCGUUGUUCGGAAUCAUUGGGCGUAAAGCGGGGUGUAGGUGGCUUUGUAAGUCGGGUGUGAAAUCCCUCGGCUUAACCAAGGAAGUGCAUCCGAAACUACAGAGCUUGAGUACUUAAGAGGAUCGCGGAAUUCCCGGUGUAGAGGUGAAAUUCGUAGAUAUCGGGAGGAACACCAGUGGCGAAGGCGGCGAUCUGGGAAGAUACUGACGCUGAGGUGCGAAAGCGUGGGGAGCAAACAGG